AUUUCAAAUUUCUAUUCUAUCUUUCUCUCUCCACGUGGGCCCCACCCACACCCAAUCAGAAUUGAAUCCUCUCUCUCCCCCAUUCACUCCCUCACGCUCUCACUCUCUCAUUCUCCCUCAACUCUCGACUCUUUCUCUCUUUCUCUCCAAAAGCCCAUUUUCUUCUUCAGUUUUCUUCUCCUUCCUGCAACCCUAAACAACUCAACAUCACCUUCUUCUCCUCCCAUGGAAGCCGCCACCCAGGGCCAAGCCGCCACCACCGCGAGCCUCUUCCUCUCACGCGCAUGCUGCCACCUCCAUGUAUCCUUCACAGGAACGCGCCACCACCAUGGGCAACCACCGUCGCCUCUCCCCCUUUCGUUCUCUCUGGCCAGCCGCGAGCACCACCGCGCCUUCAUCACCAUCAAACGACCAUGAACGCCCCACCACAGCCACCACAGACGCGAAAAAUAAGGAAAAAAGGAAACCCUAAAACCGCCACCUUUCAACUCCGAUCUCUGGCGAACCACUGAGCUUUUGGAAAAAUCAACACCACCACGGAACUCCCCUCGACGUGCGCUUCAAAACCCCUAAAGAAAUUUCUGAUUCUGACCAUCUCCGCCGUGAACCACCACCAGCCGCCGCCAACCGCCGUCUUCUCCGGUGAGACCUUCGCCGGAGAAUUUCCAGAAUGUGGUCCAGUGUUUGAGGAGUUAAAGCUUGUGAGCCAUGCUUUAUCCUCAAGAAGGAGAUGGUAAACCCAUCUGAAUAUUUCUGCUGUAUUAUUGUUGCUAUCACGAGAUUAUAGUAGUUGCUGAUUUGUUAAAUAGUUAGGUUUAGUAAACGAAUUUGAAGAAGUAGUCUUCAUAAAAAUUGUAGCAUUUUCUGAGUAAACUUUUGCCACUGGUUUCAUGUCA
This is a long non-coding RNA of Lotus japonicus, 896 nucleotides long. RefSeq lists it as uncharacterized. Lineage: Eukaryota; Viridiplantae; Streptophyta; Magnoliopsida; Fabales; Fabaceae. The record is from RefSeq and is a predicted model, not a curated record. The transcript has 2 exons.